This 2069-nucleotide ribosomal RNA is filed under the name human gut metagenome. RNAcentral describes it as "bacterial LSU rRNA". It matches the Rfam family "Bacterial large subunit ribosomal RNA", at positions 829 to 2925 of the family's 2925-position model. The record is from RNAcentral.
CCAAUCGAACCCGGAGAUAGCUGGUUCUCCUCGAAAUAGCUUUAGGGCUAGCCUCAUGGAUCAUUGGUGGGGGUAGAGCACUGAAUGUGCGCGGGGGCCACAAAGCCUACCAAACGCUAUCAAACUUCGAAUACCAUACAAUGCAGACCAUGGGAGUCAGUCCGCGAGAGAUAAGUUCCGCGGGCAAAAGGGGAACACCCCAGAUCAACCGCUAAGGUCCCCAAGUUCACGUUAAGUGGAGAAGGAUGUGGAAUUGCACAGACAACCAGGAUGUUGGCUCAGAAGCAGCCACACAUUUAAAGAGUGCGUAAUAGCUCACUGGUCGAGUGAUUGUGCGCCGAAGAUGUCCGGGGCUAAACGUGACACCGAAGCGAUGGGUGCGUCUGAAGAAGAUGCGCGGUAGAGGAGCAAUGUGCAGAGGCAGAAGCCGUAUCGAGAGGCACGGUGGACACUGCACAAGAGAGAAUGCCGGUAUGAGUAGCGAGAGGCAUGCGAGAAACAUGCCCGUCGAAAGCCCAAGGUUUCCUGGGGAAGGUUCAUCCGCCCAGGGUAAGUCGGGGCCUAAGCCGAGGACGGAAGUCGUAGGCGAUGGACAGCAGGUGUAGAUUCCUGCACUACCGAUGGAAUGAAGCAGUGACACAGAAGGAUAACUCGAGCAGGGUGAUGGUCAACCCUGUGCAAGCAUCAAGGUUGGGUUGUAGUGAAGUACGCAAUCCUAUAAGCUGAGAUGUGAUGCGGACCGAAAUUUCAGUAGGGAAGCGAGUGAGUUCACGCUGGCGAGAAAAGCUGCUAGUACAUCCAAAGGUACCCGUACCGGAAACCGACGCAGGUGGGCGAGGAGAGAAUCCUGAGACGAACGGGAGAACCCUUGUUAAGGAACUCGGCAAAAUGACCCCGUAACUUCGGGAUAAGGGGUGCCUGCGAGAGCAGGCCGCAGAGAAUAGUCACAAGCGACUGUUUAGCAAAAACACAGGUAUCUGCGAAAGCGAGAGCUGACGUAUAGGUGCUGACACCUGCCCGGUGCUGGAAGGUUAAGGGAACAUGUUAGAGCAAUCGAAGCAUCGAACCGAAGCCCCAGUAAACGGCGGCCGUAACUAUAACGGUCCUAAGGUAGCGAAAUUCCUUGUCGGGUAAGUUCCGACCCGCACGAAUGGUGUAACGACUUGUGAGCUGUCUCAACAGGGGGCCCGGUGAAAUUGAAGUAUGGGUGAAGAUGCCCAUUACCCGCGACUGGACGGAAAGACCCCGUAGAGCUUUACUGCAGCCUGAUAUUGAGUUUCGGUAACUGAUGCACAGGAUAGGUGGGAGUCUGAGAGACAUGGGUUUCGGCUCAUGUGGAGACGAUGUUGGGAUACCACUCUUCGGUUACUGAAAUUCUAACAUAGCUCUGUGAAACCAGAGGAUGGACAGUGUCAGGUGGACAGUUUGACUGGGGCGGUCGCCUCCGAAAGAGUAACGGAGGCGCCCAAAGGUACCCUCAGAAUGGAUGGAAACCAUUCGAAGAGCGCAAAGGCAGAAGGGUGCCUGACUGCGAGAGUGACAACUCGAGCAGAGACGAAAGUCGGGCUUAGUGAUCCGGCGGUAUUGAGUGGAAAAGCCGUCGCUUAACGGAUAAAAGCUACCUCGGGGAUAACAGGCUGAUCUCCCCCAAGAGUCCACAUCGACGGGGAGGUUUGGCACCUCGAUGUCGGCUCAUCGCAUCCUGGGGCUGAAUUCGGUCCCAAGGGUUUGGCUGUUCGCCAAUUAAAGCGGCACGCGAGCUGGGUUCAGAACGUCGUGAGACAGUUCGGUCCCUAUCCAUCGUGGGCGUAGGAGUCAUGAGAGGAGCUGUUCCUAGUACGAGAGGACCGGAAUGGACGCACCACUGGUGCAACUGUUGUCGUGCCAACGGCAUAGCAGGGAAGCGAAGUGCGGAUGGGAUAAACGCUGAAGGCAUCUAAGCGUGAAGCCCACCUCAAGAAUAAGACUCCACAAUAGACCCCUGGAGGACUACCAGGUAGAUAGGUCAUCGGUGGAAGCGCUGUAAGGCGUGUAGCUUGAUGAUACUAAUCGGUCGAAAGCUUCAUUUA